Molecule: transfer RNA, 70 nt
Filed under: Samariscus latus (deep-body righteye flounder)
Lineage: Eukaryota; Metazoa; Chordata; Actinopteri; Pleuronectiformes; Samaridae
Description: tRNA-Thr
Rfam family: tRNA
About the family: Transfer RNA (tRNA) molecules are approximately 80 nucleotides in length.
Source: RNAcentral
GCACUUGUAGCUCAGAUGAGAGUGCCGGUCUUGUAAACCGGAGGUCGGGGACUAAACUCCCCCUUUUGCU